CUUUACCUCUUAAUCACAACCUAAUAACGGUUAACAAAUUCAAAACAACAUAACCUCCGCACGGUGUUUUAUUUUCGUUAGCCUUUUUGUCCAUCGAGAAGCUUUGCGUUGGAGCGAAUCAAUUCUGGAACUAGGAUACAUAUAUCACCAUACCGCGGUCUCCUUCUCUCCCUUUCAAGUGUUAUCACGUGCGUGAGCUAAAUUCUACAAUCAGUGUAGGGUUGGACAAACAGAUUUAGGUUCCAAACUGUUUAAUUUCUCAGCGAGAAUGUAGUUAAAACUCGGUCUGAUAGAGGUCAAAUAUUGAGAUAAUUGGAACUGUGAUGAUGACAAGAGGCGGGAAGAAGAACUUUUGAGAAAUACCUUCUUCUAUGACCUUUAAUAACCGGUGGCUUUACUGCCUUCAUCCAUAUGAGAAGUUUCCCCUGAGCUCGAGACAUCUGCCGCGCACUCUGCGCUGUCCAAACUCUCUGCCACCAGGAAUAUUACGCGCGUUUUUGUCAUAGUUUGUUGUAUUACCACAUUGGGAAAUAUAGGGCGAUUGUUUCAUGGUAGACUUGGGUUGCAUGCAUCAAUGCCAAGAAAUUUCAUUAGGGGAACUUUGCCCAAGGAAAACGAGAGCCGUCUGUGUAGGAUGGAGCCGGUGGCCAGGGAGAGAGGGACAACAGAGAACGGAGGCAGCUCCUCUACGAGGGAGCAACGCUCCUCCUGCUCCAGCCUCAAGAUGUUCCUUGUGGCCCUAUCGUUUGCCUACUUUGCCAAGGCCUUGUCUGGCAGCUACAUGAAGAGCACAAUAACCCAGCUGGAGAGGCGCUUUGACAUCCCCAGUUACCUAACAGGUGUCAUCGACGGGAGCUUUGAGAUGGGUAACCUGUUGGUGAUAGCAUUCGUGAGUUACUUUGGUGCAAAGCUGCAUCGGCCCAAGAUCAUAGCAAUGGGCUGUGUACUGAUGGCAGUGGGAACAUUCAUCAUCGCUCUGCCACACUUCCUCAUCGGACGCUAUAAGUUCGAAACGUCAAUCCGAUCGUCAGUGAAUUCAACCAAUAACCUCUCUCCAUGUCCAGCGCGCCUGUUGUCACCCUCCUCGCAAGCUUCGGGUGACCCGCUUUCUGAGGCACCAAGCACAGGGACAGUAGGUUGUGAAGGAGAGUCCAACCUCUCCAUGUGGAUCUAUGUGUUCCUGGGGAAUGUCUUACGAGGGAUCGGGGAGACUCCAGUGCAGCCCCUUGGGAUCUCGUAUAUAGAUGAUUUCGCCAGGGAGGAAAAUGCUGCAUUUUACAUUGGCUGCGUUCAGACCAUAGCAGUCAUUGGUCCUGUGUUUGGCUAUUUACUGGGAUCUCUAUGUGCCAAAAUAUAUGUGGACAUUGGAUUUGUCAACAUGGAGAGUAUCACCAUAAGCCCUGGUGAUGCUCGCUGGGUGGGGGCCUGGUGGUUAGGUUACCUUGUAGCUGGGGUAAUCACCCUGCUUUCAGCCAUCCCCUUCUGGUUCCUGCCCCGUUCCCUGCCCAUCCCAUCAGACCGAGGCCCAGCCCAGUGCACCCCGGAGCAGACUAGCUUCAUCAAAGACUCCCCUCUCCUGGAGCAUAAGUACCAAGCCGACGAGCCAGCUGGCUUUCUGGAGAUGGCCAAAGAUUUCAUACCAACGUUGAAAACCCUCCUGGGGAACCCAGUGUACUUCAUCUACCUGUGUGUGACCAUCAUUCAGCUGAACUCUCUCAUCGGCAUGGUAACCUACAAGCCCAAAUACAUAGAGCAACAUUACGGACAGUCCGCAUCAAAAGCCAAUUUCCUGAUGGGUACAAUCAACAUCCCUGCCGUGGCGUUGGGAAUUUUCACUGGCGGCCUGCUCAUGAAGAGGCUGAAGCUGAGCAUCAUGGGAGCAGCCAAGUUUGCGUUCGGCACCUCUCUGAUAGGCUACUUCCUAUCCCUCUUCUUCUUCGUCAUGAGCUGCGAGAACGUCAAAGUGGCUGGGAUCACGCUGCCCUACAACAGGGCGGGUGGUGUAUCGUAUGAGGAGCGCUCAGUAUUCUCAGCCUGUAACUCCGACUGUGUUUGUUCAGGCAGAGACUGGGACCCUGUCUGUGGAGAAAACGGCAUCACGUACGUCUCUCCCUGCCUGGCUGGCUGCCAGACCUCCACAGGAUCAGGGAAGAACACGGUGUUCUCUAACUGUAGCUGUGUGGUGGCAGCAGGAAUGAGCAGUGGUAACCUGACAGCCAGUGUAGGCCACUGUCCUCACAGAGACGACUGUGACCGUAUCUUCCCUUACUUCCUGGCUCUUUCUGUCAUCACUUCCUUUAUCAUCUCCCUGGGUGGCACGCCAGGCUACAUGGUCCUCAUCAGGUGUAUCAAGCCUCAACUGAAGUCCUUAGCUCUGGGGUUCCAUACUCUGUCCACACGUACACUUGCGGGCAUCCCAGCGCCCAUCUACUUUGGGGCGGUCAUCGACACCACGUGUCUGAAGUGGGGACAGAAGAGUUGCGGAGGGAGAGGAGCCUGUCGGAUAUACAACACUACAGCAUACAGGAUAGCUUACCUGGGUCUGACUAUGGGCCUGAGGACAGUUUCCUUUCUGCUGUGUAUACUGGGAUUCGUGCUGCUCAAACGACACCUGCGGAGAGAGGAAUGCCGCGCCCACCAAGUGGCCAAUGGCGGAGCAGAGAUGGAGGCACUCAGGAAAGAGGAGGUCCUAGCCUCCAACUCGGACCAAUCGCUACAGACUUCCACAACAGACUACAACAACACAGAGAGAGAGACACGGCUGUGACAGUUUGAGACAAUCUCCCCUGAUCCCUCACGUUACACACACACACACACAAACACUAGAUUUGCAGGAACCAACAACGGGCUGUGCCUGACCAUCUCAUCUCAUAGAACAUAAAUGAUGUAUUUGUACUGUACCUGUCUAGGUUAUGUAUAUUUAAAAAUAUACAGUUGAAGUCGGAAGUUUACAUACACCUUAGCCAAAUACAUUUAAACUCAGUUUUUCACAAUUCCUGACAUUUAAUCCUAGUAAAAAUUCCCUGUCUUAGGUCAGCACUUUAUUUUAAGAAUGUGAAAUGUCAGAAUAAUAGUAGAGAUAAUGAUUUAUUUCAGCUUUUAUUUAUUUCAUCACAUUCCCAGUGGGUCAGAAGUUUACAUACACUCAAUUACUAUUUGGUAGCAUUGCCUUUAAAUUGUUUAAACAUUUUGGGUAGCCUUCCACAAGCUUCCCACAAUAAAUUGAGUGAACUUUGUCCCAUUCCUCCUGACAGAGCUUGUGUAACUGAGUCCGGUUUGUAGGCCUCCUUGCUCGCACACUUUCAGUUCUGCCCACACAUUUUCAAUAGGAUUGAGGUCAGGGCUUUGUGAUGGCCACUCCAGUACCUUAACUUUGUUGUCCUUAAGCCAUUUUGCCACAACUUUGGAAGUAUGCUUGGGGUCAUUGUCCAUUUGGAAGACCCAUUUGCGACCAAGCUUUAACUUCAUGUAUGAUGUCUUGAGAUGUUGCAUCAAUAUAUCCACAAUUUUCCAUCCAACAUAAUUUUCCAUCUAUUUUGUAAAGUGCACCAGUCCUUCCUGCAGCAAAGUACCCCCACAACAUGAUGCUGCCACCCCCGUGCCUCACGUUGGGAUGGUGUUCUUCGGCUUGCAAGCCUCCCCCUUUUUCCUCCAAACAUAACGAUGGUCAUUAUGGCCAAACAGUUCUAUUUUUGUUUCAUCAGACCAGAGGACAUUUCUCCAAAAAGUACAAUCUUUGUCCCGAUGUGCAGUUGUAAGCUGUAGUCUGGCUUUUUUAUGGUGGUUUUGGAGCAGUGGCCUCUUCCUUGGUGAGUGGCCUUUCCGGUUAUACCUUCAGGCGCUUGGAAAUUGCUCCCAAGGAUGAACCAGACUUGUGGAGGUCUACAAUUUGUUUUCUGAGGUCUUGGCUGAUUUUUUUUUUUGUGAUUUUUCCCAUGAUGUCAAGCAAAGAGGCACUGAGUUUGAAGGUAGGCCUUGAAAUACAUCCACAGGUACACCUCCAAUUGACUCAAAUUAUGUCAAUUAGCCUAUCAGAAGCUUCUAAAGCCAUGACAUACUUUUCUGGAAUUUCCCAAGCUGUUUAAAGGCACAGUCAACUUAGUGUAUGUAAACUUCUGACCCACUGGAAUUGUGAUACAGUCAAUUAUAGGUGAAAUAAUCUGUCUGUAAACAAUUGCUGGAAAGAUUAUUUGUGUCAUGCACAAAGCAGAUGUCCUAACCGACUUGCCAAACCUAACCUAGUUUGUUAACAAGAAAUUUGUGGAGUGGUUGAAAAACGAGUUUUAAUGACUCCGACCUAAGUGUAUGUAAACUUCCGACUUCAACUGUAUUUUAUACAAUGUUACGAGAUUGCUAGUGUGAGCUUCAGGCUGGACCUAAGUUAAGUUGAUACCAUGUUUCAAGUUCCUUGCAGACAGGCCAUGCAAUAGCAAAUGUGGUUUAUAGGAUAUUUAUUUUUAUCAUGAUAUUUUCUACCUACGGCCUACAGUGUUUUUAUUUGUUGGCUUUAUGUAGGCUAUUUUCAGAUAAUGGCAAUAGAAGUUGAAUUUGUCUAAUUUUCAUUUAGAUAUAAUUUUGAUUAACCACAUGACAUUGAUUUUGAGAUGUGAAGACUUUAUUAUGAAUUAAAUGUAACUGUUUCACAAAAAUGUGCAUUUGAAAAUCAGAACUGGCACGCAGAUCAGUAGAAAUAGUAUGAUAACUUUCCGACCGCUGGUGUAGCCUAUUAUCAGCAACUUCAGGAGCAUAAUGGCAGAAUCUGAGAAGGCCAGAGGGAGGAAGAGGGUCGGGUUCGGAACGUUUUUUCCCCCUUCUGGUUAGGCUAUAUUGAUCUCUUGUUCCCUCUUUAGUCAUUUCUGUGUGUUGAUUUUUAAUUUCAGUCCCUAAAGCAUCAGGCAAAGUAUCCUACAUACAGUAUAGUUGGUUUUAUUCAAACAUAGGGUGUCUAUAUUACACCUACAGUACCGGUCAAGAGUUUGGACACACCUACUCAUUCAAAUGUUUUUCUUUAUAUUUACUAUUUUCUACAUUAUACAAUAACAGUGAAGACAUCAAAACUAUGAAAUAACACAUGAGGAGUCAUGUAGUAACCAAAAAAGUGUUAAACAAAUCAAAAAAGAUUUGAGAUUUUAGAUUCUUCUCCUUUGCCUUGAUGACAGCUUUGCACACUCUUGGCAUUCUGUCAACCCGCUUCAUGAGGUAGUCACCUGGAAUGGAUUUCAAUUAACAGGUGUGCCUUGUUAAAAGUUUGUUUGUGGGAUUUCUUUCCUUAAUGCAUUUGAGCCAAUCAGUUGUGUUGUGACAAGGUAGGUGUGCUAUGCAGAAUAUAGCCCUAUUUGGUAAAAUACCAAGUACAUAUUAUGGAAAGAACAGCUCAAAUAAGCAAAGAGAAACAACAGUCCAUCAUCACUUUAAGACAUGAAGGUCAGUCAAUCUGGAAGAUUUCAAGAUCUUUGAACGUUUCUUCAAGUGCAGUUGUAAAAACCAUUAAGCUCUAUGAUGAAACUGGCGCUCAUGAGGACCGCCACAGGAAAGGAAGACCCAGAGUUACCUCUGCUGCAGAGGAUAAAUUCACUAGAGUGACCAGCCUCAGAUUGCAGCCCAAAUUAAUGCUUCACAGAGUUCAAGUAACAGACACAUCUCAACAUCAACUGCUCCGAGGAGACUGUGUGAAUCAGGCCAUCAUGGUCGUAUUGCUGCAAAGAAACCACUACUAAAGGACAGCAAUAAAAGGAAAGGACUUGCUUGGGCCAAGAAACACGGCAAUGGACAUUAGACCGGCUAAAAUCUGUCCUUUGGUCCGAGUCCAAAUUUAAGACUUUUGGUUCCAACCGCCGUUUCUUUGUGAGAUGUAGAGAAGGUGAACGGAUGAUCUCCACAUGUGUGGUUCCCACCAUGAAGCAUGGAGGAGGAGGUGUGGGGGUGCUUUGCUGGUGACCCUGUCUGUGAUUUAUUUAGAAUUCAAGGCACACUUAACCAAUGCAUUCUGCAGCAAUACGCCAUCCCAUCUAGUUUGCACUUAGUGGGACUAUAAUUUUCUUCUUCCAACAGGACAAUGACCCAACACACCUCCAGGCUGUGUAAGGGCUAUUUGACCAAGAAGGAGAGUGAUGGAGUGUCGCAUCAGAUGACCUGGCCUCCACAAUCACCCGACCUCAACCUAAUUGAGAUGGUUUGGGAUGAGUUGGACCGCAGACUGAAGAAAAAGCUGUGCUCAGCAUAUAUGGGAACUUCAAGACUGUUGGAAAAGCAUUCCAGGUGAAGCUGAUUGAGAGAAUGCCAUGAGUGUCCAAAGCUGUCAUCAAGGCAAAGGAUGGCUACUUUGAAGAAUCUAAAAUAUAUUUUGGGGUUUUGAUGUCUUCACUAUUAUUCUACAAUGUAGAAAAUAGUAAAAAUAAACAAAAACCCUUGAAUGAGUAGGUGUCCAAACUUUUGACCGGUACUGUACGUGAAAAUGCUGUUAAUUGACUACAGCUCAGUGUUCAACACCAUAGUGCCCACAAAGCUCAUCGCUAAGCUAAACAGGACCAAACACCUCCCUCUGCAACUGGAUCCUUGACUUCCUGACGGAUAGGCAACAACACAACUGCCACGCUGAUCCUCAACACAGGGGACCCUCAGGGGUGCGUGCUUAGUCCCCUCCUGUACUCCCUUUUGACUCACGACUGUGUGGCCAAGUAUGACUCCAGCGCCAUCAUUAUGUUUGCUGACGACACAACGGUGGUAGGCCUGAUCACCGACAACUGAGACCGCCUAUAGAGAGGAGGUCAGAGACCUGGCAGUGUGGUGCCAGGACAACAAGUUCUCUGUCAACGUGAGCAAGACAAAGGAGAUUAUCAUGGACUACAGGAAAAGGGGGGCCGAACACACCCCCAUUAUAUCGACGGGCUGUGUAGACUGGGUCGAGAGUUUCAAGUUCCUUGGUGUCCACCAACAAACUAUCAUGGUCCAAACACACUAAGAAAGUUGUGAAGAGGGCAUGACAAUGUCUUUUCCCCCUCAGGAGACUGAAAAGAUUUUGCAUGGGUCCCGUGAUCUUCAAAAAGUUCUACAGCUGCACCAUCGAGAGCAUCCUGACCGGUUGCAUCACCGUCUAGUUGCAUCACCAACUGCUCGGCAUCCGACAAUAAGGCGUUACAGAGGGUAGUGCAUACCUGGGGCCAAGCUUCCUGCCAUCCACAUUUACAUUACAUUUAAGUCAUUUAGCAGACGCUCUUAUCCAGAGCGACUUACAAAUUGGCCUAUAUCCAGGACCUAUAUACUUGGUGGUGUCAGAGUGAGGCCAAAGAAAUUGUCAAAGACUCCAGUCACCCAAGUCAUAGACUAUUCUCUCUGCUACCGCACGACAAGUGGUACCGGAGCGCCAAGUCUAAGUCCAAAAAGCUCCUCAACAGCUUCUACCCCUAAGCCAUAAGACUGCUGAACAAUUAAUCAAAUGGCCACCCAGACUAUUUGGCUCCUUUGUUCUUACACUGCUGCUACUCGUUGUUUAUUGUCCAUGCAUAGUAACAUUACCCCUACCUACAUGUACAAAUUACCUUGACUAACCUGCACCCCUGCACAUUGAGUCGGUACCGGUGCCCCCUGUAUAUAGCCUCAAUAUUUUAUUGUGUUACUUUUUAUAUAUAUAUUUCUGAGGACGCAUGGCUCUCAUCCUUUGCCUCUCCCGAGUCCGUACGGGAGUUGCAGCGAUGAGACAAGAUUGUAACUACUACCAAUUGGAUACUACGAAAUUGUGGAGAAAAAAGGGGUAAAAGUAAAUAAAUACUUUUUCUCCCCAAUUUUGUAGUAUCCAAUUGGUAGUAGUUACAAUCUUGUCUCAUCGCUGCAACUCAGCGUGUCAGCGUGCAUGCGUCUGGCCUGUCACAGGAGUCGCUAGAGCGCGAUGGGACAAGGACAUCCCUGCCGGUCAAACCCUCCCCUAACCCGGAUGACGCUGGGCUAAUUGUGCCGGCUGCGACAGAGCCUGGACUCUAACCAAGAUCUCUAGUGGGACAGCUAGCAACUGCAAUGUAGUGACUUAGACCACUACACCACUUGGGAGGCCCUAUUGUGUUACUUUUUUACAUUUUUUACUCUAGUUUAUUUAGUAAAUAUUUUUUUCACUGCAUGGUUGGUUAAGGGCUUUGUUAGUAAGCAUUUCAUGGUAAGGUCUACCUUCACCUGUUGUAUUUGGCACAUGUGACAAAUAACAUUUGAUUUGAUUUUUAUAUAUGGUAAAAUACACAUUUUCAAAUUUCGAACAAUCGAUUGGUUCUAAAGAACAGACUACUCUCGUCGACCAAUAUAUAUAUUUUUUUGUCAGGGACAGCCGUAGAAUAGGGUUCUAUUUGGGACGUAGGCCCUCUCUACUGGGUGAACUUCAGGCCUGACAUAUCCCUAUCCUACCGGUAGAUGUCUGGAAUAAGCAACUAUAUUUGUGACAGAUGCAACAACUUGAGUGUUUAAAUUGUGUUGUGAUGGCUCGGUGACCAGACAGGUGGAAAUGGCUCCUGUACACUAUAGCGUAUGUCUGUAACUGCUGGAGCCUGAUAUGAGUCGCACAUUAACCUAAUGGUGUGAAGCUCCAGGCCCAGCCAGGGGCCCUUGCUGCUCCCUGUUUCCCAGUAGGAGAUCCUGUGCCAGGCUACAGCGCCUGGCCCUGCUGGUUAUCCCCCUGGCACUCAGUCAAGUUGAGUCAGUGUUGAUUAACCAUGGGUACAUGAAAGCCACUGGGAGCAGGCCCAGGUUAUCUCCCUGACUCCAUUAAAUCUCUUUCUCUCCCUCUCUCUAUUACUCUCUUCUCUCUUGGGUCCCUCUCUCCGUCCCGCUCUCUACCUCUCUUUCAUUUCCUUGCUCUGCCUGUCUCGCUCUACCCCAUACCCUCUUUCUCGCUUCGUCUCUCUGUUUGCUCUCUGAUGUAGAGCUGUCAGCCUGUGUGUUGUGUGUCCUCUCAGUGUUUAAACUUGUAAUUACGGGCGCUGCUGUGGGCCAAAUUGCCUCUGUUACUCAAGGUGUCUGUUGCUGUGGUUGGGCAGAGAGGGGGAUGAAGGGAGGGAGAGGGGAUGGCUGGACGGACGGACGGAGGGAGAGAGGUGCAUUGAAAGAGGGUACACUAACAAGCUGAUAGAGAGCUGCAGAACGGAUAAAGUGAGGGAAUAGAAUGAAAGGAGGUAGUGUGAAGAAGCCCAGACAGAGAAGUGACAGGGUGGGAAGAGAUGGAUGAAUCGGCUGGUUGACACAGGGAGGUAUAUGAGGGAGCAAAAUCAUUCAGAGGAGUGGUGAUGAGAUGGAGAACAAACAUUGAAUGCACAUUUGCUCGUGUGCGAAAGGCACUUGUCGUCAUUGUUCUCAUUGAGCUACAUUUCAGUUAACGAGAGAGCACCAUUAAUCAAUAAGCGCCCUGUCUGAUGAAUUGUGGUGCAUAAAAUGACUGGCCAGAUGAACUAAAGAUUGGAGCGCUGCUGGAGGUGUGUGUGUGUGUGUGUGUGUGUGUGUGUGUGUGUGUGUGUGUGUGUGUGUGUGUGUGUGUGUGUGUGUGUGUGUGUGUGUGUGUGUGUGUGUGUGUGUGUGUGUGUGUGUGUGUGUGUGUGCAAGCUUGACGGCCCUACAGGCUGCUGUUAGCUUGGGUUUCUCUACCUCUUCCCCAUUUCAUCAGUGUGAGAGAAACGAGAGAGCGCAAGGGAGAGAGAGAGUUGGAAGAGAGGGUAGGCCUGCCAGAGCCUGUCACUACUGAUGUCAUCUCGCUCCAGCGCCACAGACCAGUCCACUGUGCGCUCGAUGUGGGUCAAGAUCAGUGUGUGUGAGAUGUGUAAAUAGACCAAGAAUCUGGCCUCUAGACAUGUUCCCAAAUGUAGAACUUUGUUUAAAUCCAGGAAAAUAAUGAACCAUCGCUGUAUAUAGUUUGUAAACACAUUAAUGAGAUAAAUAACAUGUGUCUGU
This is an RNA transcript of Oncorhynchus keta (chum salmon), 9921 nucleotides long. It is a transcript of the gene named solute carrier organic anion transporter family member 1C1-like, with no coding region annotated. The transcript has 16 exons. NCBI's taxonomy places the organism in Eukaryota, Metazoa, Chordata, Actinopteri, Salmoniformes, Salmonidae. The record is from RefSeq and is a predicted model, not a curated record.